CGCCACAGCCAUAUCACCCUGUAGUCCAAGACUGGUUGCCCACUGAAGCUAAGCAGGGUUGAGCCUGGUCAGUACCUGGAUGGGAGACCUCCUGGGAAAACUAGGUUGCUGUUGGAA
This 117-nucleotide ribosomal RNA is filed under the name Sinocyclocheilus rhinocerous. The record is from RNAcentral. Lineage: Eukaryota; Metazoa; Chordata; Actinopteri; Cypriniformes; Cyprinidae.